AGUGAACGCUGGCGGCGUGCUUAACACAUGCAAGUCGAACGAGAACGGAUUAUAGCUUGCUAUAAUUGUCAGCUAAGUGGCGCACGGGUGAGUAAUGUAUAGGUAAUAUGCCUCUUACUAAGGGAUAACAAAUGGAAACGUUUGCUAAUACCUUAUACUCCUUAUUAACAGAAGUUAAUAAGGGAAAGAUUUAUUGGUAAGAGAUUAGCCUGUAUUGUAUCAGUUAGUUGGUUGGGUAAUGGCUUACCAAGACUAUGACACAUAACUGGUUUGAGAGGAUGAUCAGUCACACUGGAACUGAGACACGGUCCAGACUCUUACGGGGAGCAGCAGUGGAGAAUAUUGCACAAUGGACGAAAGUCUGAUGCAUCAACGCCGCGUGGAGGAUGACACAUUUCGGUGCGUAAACUCCUUUUAUAUGAGAAGAUAAUGACGGUAUUAUAUGAAUAAGCACCGGCUAACUCCGUGCCAGCCGCCGCCGUAA
RNAcentral lists this ribosomal RNA (484 nucleotides) under uncultured bacterium. RNAcentral's name for it is "partial 16S ribosomal RNA". It matches the Rfam family "Bacterial small subunit ribosomal RNA", at positions 29 to 523 of the family's 1533-position model. The record is from RNAcentral.